Molecule: non-coding RNA, 46 nt
Organism: Xenopus laevis (African clawed frog)
Lineage: Eukaryota; Metazoa; Chordata; Amphibia; Anura; Pipidae
Source: Rfam
CCAAAGGCUCUUUUCAGAGCCACCCACCCAUUCAUAUUAAGAGUUG